RNAcentral lists this ribosomal RNA (769 nucleotides) under Psychrobacter sp. HTYC27. RNAcentral's name for it is "bacterial SSU rRNA". It matches the Rfam family "Bacterial small subunit ribosomal RNA", at positions 382 to 1143 of the family's 1533-position model. Lineage: Bacteria; Pseudomonadati; Pseudomonadota; Gammaproteobacteria; Moraxellales; Moraxellaceae. The record is from RNAcentral.
CCUGAUCCAGCCAUGCCGCGUGUGUGAAGAAGGCCUUUUGGUUGUAAAGCACUUUAAGCAGUGAAGAAGACUCUUCGGUUAAUACCCGGAGACGAUGACAUUAGCUGCAGAAUAAGCACCGGCUAACUCUGUGCCAGCAGCCGCGGUAAUACAGAGGGUGCAAGCGUUAAUCGGAAUUACUGGGCGUAAAGCGAGCGUAGGUGGCUUGAUAAGUCAGAUGUGAAAUCCCCGGGCUUAACCUGGGAACUGCAUCUGAUACUGUCAGGCUAGAGUAGGUGAGAGGAAGGUAGAAUUCCAGGUGUAGCGGUGAAAUGCGUAGAGAUCUGGAGGAAUACCGAUGGCGAAGGCAGCCUUCUGGCAUCAUACUGACACUGAGGCUCGAAAGCGUGGGUAGCAAACAGGAUUAGAUACCCUGGUAGUCCACGCCGUAAACGAUGUCUACUAGUCGUUGGGUCCCUUGAGGACUUAGUGACGCAGCUAACGCAAUAAGUAGACCGCCUGGGGAGUACGGCCGCAAGGUUAAAACUCAAAUGAAUUGACGGGGGCCCGCACAAGCGGUGGAGCAUGUGGUUUAAUUCGAUGCAACGCGAAGAACCUUACCUGGUCUUGACAUAUCUAGAAUCCUGCAGAGAUGCGGGAGUGCCUUCGGGAAUUAGAAUACAGGUGCUGCAUGGCUGUCGUCAGCUCGUGUCGUGAGAUGUUGGGUUAAGUCCCGCAACGAGCGCAACCCUUGUCCUUAGUUACCAGCGGGUUAAGCCGGGAACUCUAA